This 2931-nucleotide ribosomal RNA is filed under the name Escherichia coli. RNAcentral's name for it is "bacterial LSU rRNA". It matches the Rfam family "Bacterial large subunit ribosomal RNA". The record is from RNAcentral. Lineage: Bacteria; Pseudomonadati; Pseudomonadota; Gammaproteobacteria; Enterobacterales; Enterobacteriaceae.
GGGUUGUGAGGUUAAGCGACUAAGCGUACACGGUGGAUGCCCUGGCAGUCAGAGGCGAUGAAGGACGUGCUAAUCUGCGAUAAGCGUCGGUAAGGUGAUAUGAACCGUUAUAACCGGCGAUUUCCGAAUGGGGAAACCCAGUGUGUUUCGACACACUAUCAUUAACUGAAUCCAUAGGUUAAUGAGGCGAACCGGGGGAACUGAAACAUCUAAGUACCCCGAGGAAAAGAAAUCAACCGAGAUUCCCCCAGUAGCGGCGAGCGAACGGGGAGGAGCCCAGAGCCUGAAUCAGUGUGUGUGUUAGUGGAAGCGUCUGGAAAGGCGCGCGAUACAGGGUGACAGCCCCGUACACAAAAAUGCACAUGCUGUGAGCUCGAUGAGUAGGGCGGGACACGUGGUAUCCUGUCUGAAUAUGGGGGGACCAUCCUCCAAGGCUAAAUACUCCUGACUGACCGAUAGUGAACCAGUACCGUGAGGGAAAGGCGAAAAGAACCCCGGCGAGGGGAGUGAAAAAGAACCUGAAACCGUGUACGUACAAGCAGUGGGAGCACGCUUAGGCGUGUGACUGCGUACCUUUUGUAUAAUGGGUCAGCGACUUAUAUUCUGUAGCAAGGUUAACCGAAUAGGGGAGCCGAAGGGAAACCGAGUCUUAACUGGGCGUUAAGUUGCAGGGUAUAGACCCGAAACCCGGUGAUCUAGCCAUGGGCAGGUUGAAGGUUGGGUAACACUAACUGGAGGACCGAACCGACUAAUGUUGAAAAAUUAGCGGAUGACUUGUGGCUGGGGGUGAAAGGCCAAUCAAACCGGGAGAUAGCUGGUUCUCCCCGAAAGCUAUUUAGGUAGCGCCUCGUGAACUCAUCUCCGGGGGUAGAGCACUGUUUCGGCAAGGGGGUCAUCCCGACUUACCAACCCGAUGCAAACUGCGAAUACCGGAGAAUGUUAUCACGGGAGACACACGGCGGGUGCUAACGUCCGUCGUGAAGAGGGAAACAACCCAGACCGCCAGCUAAGGUCCCAAAGUCAUGGUUAAGUGGGAAACGAUGUGGGAAGGCCCAGACAGCCAGGAUGUUGGCUUAGAAGCAGCCAUCAUUUAAAGAAAGCGUAAUAGCUCACUGGUCGAGUCGGCCUGCGCGGAAGAUGUAACGGGGCUAAACCAUGCACCGAAGCUGCGGCAGCGACGCUGAUGCGUUGUUGGGUAGGGGAGCGUUCUGUAAGCCUGUGAAGGUGUGCUGUGAGGCAUGCUGGAGGUAUCAGAAGUGCGAAUGCUGACAUAAGUAACGAUAAAGCGGGUGAAAAGCCCGCUCGCCGGAAGACCAAGGGUUCCUGUCCAACGUUAAUCGGGGCAGGGUGAGUCGACCCCUAAGGCGAGGCCGAAAGGCGUAGUCGAUGGGAAACAGGUUAAUAUUCCUGUACUUGGUGUUACUGCGAAGGGGGGACGGAGAAGGCUAUGUUGGCCGGGCGACGGUUGUCCCGGUUUAAGCGUGUAGGCUGGUUUUCCAGGCAAAUCCGGAAAAUCAAGGCUGAGGCGUGAUGACGAGGCACUACGGUGCUGAAGCAACAAAUGCCCUGCUUCCAGGAAAAGCCUCUAAGCAUCAGGUAACAUCAAAUCGUACCCCAAACCGACACAGGUGGUCAGGUAGAGAAUACCAAGGCGCUUGAGAGAACUCGGGUGAAGGAACUAGGCAAAAUGGUGCCGUAACUUCGGGAGAAGGCACGCUGAUAUGUAGGUGAAGUCCCUCGCGGAUGGAGCUGAAAUCAGUCGAAGAUACCAGCUGGCUGCAACUGUUUAUUAAAAACACAGCACUGUGCAAACACGAAAGUGGACGUAUACGGUGUGACGCCUGCCCGGUGCCGGAAGGUUAAUUGAUGGGGUCAGCGCAAGCGAAGCUCUUGAUCGAAGCCCCGGUAAACGGCGGCCGUAACUAUAACGGUCCUAAGGUAGCGAAAUUCCUUGUCGGGUAAGUUCCGACCUGCACGAAUGGCGUAAUGAUGGCCAGGCUGUCUCCACCCGAGACUCAGUGAAAUUGAACUCGCUGUGAAGAUGCAGUGUACCCGCGGCAAGACGGAAAGACCCCGUGAACCUUUACUAUAGCUUGACACUGAACAUUGAGCCUUGAUGUGUAGGAUAGGUGGGAGGCUUUGAAGUGUGGACGCCAGUCUGCAUGGAGCCGACCUUGAAAUACCACCCUUUAAUGUUUGAUGUUCUAACGUGGACCCGUGAUCCGGGUUGCGGACAGUGUCUGGUGGGUAGUUUGACUGGGGCGGUCUCCUCCUAAAGAGUAACGGAGGAGCACGAAGGUUGGCUAAUCCUGGUCGGACAUCAGGAGGUUAGUGCAAUGGCAUAAGCCAGCUUGACUGCGAGCGUGACGGCGCGAGCAGGUGCGAAAGCAGGUCAUAGUGAUCCGGUGGUUCUGAAUGGAAGGGCCAUCGCUCAACGGAUAAAAGGUACUCCGGGGAUAACAGGCUGAUACCGCCCAAGAGUUCAUAUCGACGGCGGUGUUUGGCACCUCGAUGUCGGCUCAUCACAUCCUGGGGCUGAAGUAGGUCCCAAGGGUAUGGCUGUUCGCCAUUUAAAGUGGUACGCGAGCUGGGUUUAGAACGUCGUGAGACAGUUCGGUCCCUAUCUGCCGUGGGCGCUGGAGAACUGAGGGGGGCUGCUCCUAGUACGAGAGGACCGGAGUGGACGCAUCACUGGUGUUCGGGUUGUCAUGCCAAUGGCACUGCCCGGUAGCUAAAUGCGGAAGAGAUAAGUGCUGAAAGCAUCUAAGCACGAAACUUGCCCCGAGAUGAGUUCUCCCUGACUCCUUGAGAGUCCUGAAGGAACGUUGAAGACGACGACGUUGAUAGGCCGGGUGUGUAAGCGCAGCGAUGCGUUGAGCUAACCGGUACUAAUGAACCGUGAGGCUUAACCUUACAACGCCGAAGGUGUUU